RNAcentral lists this unclassified non-coding RNA (306 nucleotides) under plant metagenome. RNAcentral's name for it is "partial contains 5.8S ribosomal RNA, internal transcribed spacer 2, and large subunit ribosomal RNA". The stretch from base 1 to 104 matches the Rfam family "5.8S ribosomal RNA", at positions 51 to 154 of the family's 154-position model. The record is from RNAcentral.
AAAUGCGAUAAGUAAUGUGAAUUGCAGAAUUCAGUGAAUCAUCGAAUCUUUGAACGCACAUUGCGCCCGCCAGUAUUCUGGCGGGCAUGCCUGUUCGAGCGUCAUUUCAACCAUCAAGCCCCCGGCUUGUGUUGGGGACCUGCGGCUGCCCGCAGGCCCUGAAAAACAGUGGCGGGCUCGCUGUCACACCGAGCGUAGUAGCAUACAUUCUCGCUCAGGGCGUGCUGCGGGUUCCGGCCGUUAAACGACCUUCAUAACCCAAGGUUGACCUCGGAUCAGGUAGGAAGACCCGCUGAACUUAAGCAG